GCACUGGAAGGUUUGGUUUAGCU
RNAcentral lists this microRNA (23 nucleotides) under Schmidtea mediterranea. Its description in RNAcentral is "sme-miR-750-5p". Its record names the gene sme-miR-750-5p. Lineage: Eukaryota; Metazoa; Platyhelminthes; Tricladida; Dugesiidae. The record is from miRBase by way of RNAcentral.